GACGAACGCUGGCGGCGUGCUUAACACAUGCAAGUCGAACGGUGAAGCGCCUUCCUUUUUGGUGGGUGUGGAUGAGUGGCGAACGGGUGAGUAACACGUGAGUAACCUGCCCCCUUCUUCUGGAUAACCGCAUGAAAGUGUGGCUAAUACGGGAUAUUCUGGGUCUGUCGCAUGAUGGGUCUGGGAAAGAUAUUGUUUCGGUGGGGGAUGGGCUCGCGGCCUAUCAGCUUGUUGGUGGGGUGAUGGCCUACCAAGGCGGUGACGGGUAGCCGGCCUGAGAGGGUGGACGGUCACACUGGGACUGAGACACGGCCCAGACUCUUACGGGAGGCAGCAGUGGGGAAUAUUGCACAAUGGGCGCAAGCCUGAUGCAGCGACGCCGCGUGAGGGAUGGAGGCCUUCGGGUUGUGAACCUCUUUCGCCAGUGAAGCAGGCCUGCCUCGUUUGUGGGUGGGUUGACGGUAGCUGGAGAAGAAGCGCCGGCUAACUACGUG
Molecule: ribosomal RNA, 494 nt
Filed under: uncultured bacterium
Lineage: Bacteria
Description: partial 16S ribosomal RNA
Rfam family: Bacterial small subunit ribosomal RNA
Source: RNAcentral